UCGAUUUGGAGUUUGUUGCCCUGAGUGAUGGGCUCCGAAGCUAACGCGAUAAAUCGACCGCCUGGGGAGUACGGCCGCAAGGUUAAAACUCAAAUGAAUUGACGGGGGCCCGCACAAGCGGUGGAGCAUGUGGUUUAAUUCGAUGCAACGCGAAGAACCUUACCUGGUCUUGACAUCUACAGAAUCUUGCAGAGAUGCGAGAGUGCCUUCGGGAAUUGUGAGACAGGUGCUGCAUGGCUGUCGUCAGCUCGUGUUGUGAAAUGUUGGGUUAAGUCCCGCAACGAGCGCAACCCUUAUCCUUUGUUGCCAGCGAUUCGGUCGGGAACUCAAAGGAGACUGCCGUUGAUAAAGCGGAGGAAGGUGGGGACGACGUCAAGUCAUCAUGGCCCUUACGACCAGGGCUACACACGUGCUACAAUGGCGUAUACAAAGGGAGGCGACCUCGCGAGAGCAAGCGGACCUCACAAAGUACGUCUAAGUCCGGAUUGGAGUCUGCAACUCGACUCCAUGAAGUCGGAAUCGCUAGUUAAUCGUGAAUCANAAUGUCACGGUGAAUACGUUCCCCGGGCCU
RNAcentral lists this ribosomal RNA (571 nucleotides) under uncultured Gammaproteobacteria bacterium. Its description in RNAcentral is "bacterial SSU rRNA". It matches the Rfam family "Bacterial small subunit ribosomal RNA", at positions 812 to 1381 of the family's 1533-position model. The record is from RNAcentral. Lineage: Bacteria; Pseudomonadati; Pseudomonadota; Gammaproteobacteria.